This 2826-nucleotide ribosomal RNA is filed under the name Roseovarius pacificus. RNAcentral's name for it is "bacterial LSU rRNA". It matches the Rfam family "Bacterial large subunit ribosomal RNA". The record is from RNAcentral. Lineage: Bacteria; Pseudomonadati; Pseudomonadota; Alphaproteobacteria; Rhodobacterales; Roseobacteraceae.
AAUCAAGCGCGAGAAGGGCGUUUGGUGGAUGCCUUGGCAGUAAGAGGCGAUGAAGGACGUGAUACUCUGCGAUAAGCCAUGAGGAGCUGAGAAUAAGCUUUGAUCCAUGGAUUUCCGAAUGGGGCAACCCACUUGAUUGUUUCCAGUUAUCGCGCAGCGAUACCCAUCUGGAUGCAAAACCAAGUACUUAAAACCUGAAUACAUAGGGUUUUAAGAGCAAACCCGGAGAACUGAAACAUCUAAGUACCCGGAGGAAAGGACAGCAACAGCGACUCCCCUAGUAGCGGCGAGCGAACGGGGACCAGCCGAGCCUUGAGAGUGACCAGAACAUGUUGGGAAGCAUGGCCAUAGCGGGUGACAGCCCCGUAUGGGAAGCUCGAUGGGACGUAUUAAGUAGGGCGGGACACGUGAAAUCCUGUCUGAAGAUCGGAGGACCACCUUCGAAGGCUAAGUACUCCUUACUGACCGAUAGCGAACCAGUACCGUGAGGGAAAGGUGAAAAGCACCCCGACGAGGGGAGUGAAACAGUACCUGAAACCGAACGCCUACAAUCAGUCGGAGCUUGACUGGACUCUAAUGACAACAGAUUGUUAUUAGUGUCCAGUCUUGUGACGGCGUACCUUUUGUAUAAUGGGUCAUCGACUUGGUCUAUCCAGCAAGCUUAAGCCGUUAGGUGUAGGCGCAGCGAAAGCGAGUCUUAAUAGGGCGUCGAGUUGGAUGGAUCAGACCCGAAACCGAGUGAUCUAGGCAUGACCAGGCUGAAGGUAAGGUAACACUUACUGGAGGGCCGAACCCACACCUGUUGAAAAAGGUCGGGAUGAGUUGUGCCUAGGGGUGAAAGGCCAAUCAAACUCGGAGAUAGCUGGUUCUCUGCGAAAUCUAUUUAGGUAGAGCGUCAUCCGAAUACCCUCGGGGGUAGAGCACUGGAUGGGUAAUGGGGCCCCACAGGCUUACUGAUCCUAACCAAACUCCGAAUACCGGGGAGUACUGGAUGGCAGACACACUGCGGAUGCUAACGUCCGUAGUGGAGAGGGAAACAACCCUGACCUACAGCUAAGGCCCCCAAUUCAUGGCUAAGUGGGAAAGCAGGUGGGACGACCAAAACAACCAGGAGGUUGGCUUAGAAGCAGCCAUCCUUUAAAGAUAGCGUAACAGCUCACUGGUCUAAACAAGUUGUCCUGCGGCGAAGAUGUAACGGGGCUCAAGCCAUGAGCCGAAGCUUAGGAGUGCGUAAGCACUGGUAGCAGAGCGUAGUGUGACACAGGAGAGUCCUUUCGAUGAAGCCGGGGCGUGAGCCAUCCGGUGGAGAGAUCACUAGUGAGAAUGAUGACAUGAGUAGCGACAAACAGGGUGAGAGACCCUGUCGCCGAAAGUCCAAGGGUUCCUGCUUAAAGCUAAUCUGAGCAGGGUAAGCCGACCCCUAAGGCGAGGCCGAAAGGCGUAGUCGAUGGGAACCAGGUUAAUAUUCCUGGGCCAGGAGGAUGUGACGGAUCGUGAAGGUUGUUCAGACUUAUCGGAUUGUCUGGGCCGCUGAUCGGUUCCUGGAAAUAGCACCUCCAUGAGAUCGUACCCUAAACCGACACAGGUGGACUGGUAGAGAAUACCAAGGCGCUUGAGAGAACGAUGUUGAAGGAACUCGGCAAAAUACCUCCGUAAGUUCGCGAGAAGGAGGCCCAGUUUCUACGCAAGUAUUGGCUGGGGGCACAAACCAGGGGGUGGCGACUGUUUACUAAAAACACAGGGCUCUGCGAAGUCGCAAGACGACGUAUAGGGUCUGACGCCUGCCCGGUGCCUGAAGGUUAAAAGGAGAGGUGAGAGCCUUGAAUUGAAGCCCAGGUAAACGGCGGCCGUAACUAUAACGGUCCUAAGGUAGCGAAAUUCCUUGUCGGGUAAGUUCCGACCUGCACGAAUGGCGUAACGACUUCCCCGCUGUCUCCAACAUCGACUCAGCGAAAUUGAAUUGCCUGUCAAGAUGCAGGCUUCCCGCGGUUAGACGGAAAGACCCCGUGCACCUUUACUACAGCUUCGCACUGGCAUCAGGAUUGUGAUGUGCAGGAUAGGUGGUAGGCUUCGAAGCAGGAACGCCAGUUUCUGUGGAGCCUCCCUUGAGAUACCACCCUUCGCACUCUUGAUGUCUAACCGCGGUCCGUUAUCCGGAUCCGGGACCCUGCGUGGCGGGUAGUUUGACUGGGGCGGUCGCCUCCUAAAGCGUAACGGAGGCGCGCGAAGGUUGGCUCAGAGCGGUCGGAAAUCGCUCGUUGAGUGCAAUGGCAGAAGCCAGCCUGACUGCAAGACUGACAAGUCGAGCAGAGUCGAAAGACGGCCAUAGUGAUCCGGUGGUCCCGAGUGGAAGGGCCAUCGCUCAACGGAUAAAAGGUACGCCGGGGAUAACAGGCUGAUACUGCCCAAGAGUCCAUAUCGACGGCAGUGUUUGGCACCUCGAUGUCGGCUCAUCUCAUCCUGGGGCUGGAGCAGGUCCCAAGGGUACGGCUGUUCGCCGUUUAAAGAGGUACGUGAGCUGGGUUUAGAACGUCGUGAGACAGUUCGGUCCCUAUCUGCCGUGGGUGUAGGAUACUUGAGAGGAGUUGCCCCUAGUACGAGAGGACCGGGGUGAACGAUCCACUGGUGGACCUGUUGUCGUGCCAACGGCAGUGCAGGGUAGCUAUGAUCGGACAGGAUAACCGCUGAAGGCAUCUAAGCGGGAAGCCCCCCUCAAAACAAGGUAUCCCUGAGGGCCGUGGUAGACCACCACGUCGAUAGGCCGGAGAUGUAAGCGCAGCAAUGCGUUCAGUUGACCGGUACUAAUUGCCCGACAGGCUUGAUUUG